UUUUGGACAAUGGGCGCAAGCCUGAUCCAGCAAUGCCGCGUACAGGAAGAAGGCCUUCGGGUUGUAAACUGCUUUUGUCAGGGAAGAAAUCUUCUGGGUUAAUACCUCGGGAGGAUGACGGUACCUGAAGAAUAAGCACCGGCUAACUACGUGCCAGCAGCCGCGGUAAUACGUAGGGUGCGAGCGUUAAUCGGAAUUACUGGGCGUAAAGCGUGCGCAGGCGGCUUUGCAAGACAGAUGUGAAAUCCCCGGGCUCAACCUGGGAACUGCAUUUGUGACUGCAAGGCUAGAGUACGGCAGAGGGGGAUGGAAUUCCGCGUGUAGCAGUGAAAUGCGUAGAUAUGCGGAGGAACACCGAUGGCGAAGGCAAUCCCCGGGCCUGCACUACGCUCAGCACGAGG
RNAcentral lists this ribosomal RNA (401 nucleotides) under uncultured bacterium. RNAcentral's name for it is "bacterial SSU rRNA". It matches the Rfam family "Bacterial small subunit ribosomal RNA", at positions 362 to 758 of the family's 1533-position model. The record is from RNAcentral.